GUUAGGAAUAUUGGACAAUGGGCGAAAGCCUGAUCCAGCCAUGCCGCGUGAACGAUGAAGGCCUUCGGGUUGUAAAGUUCUUUAGCCGAUGAUUAUAAUGACUGUAGUCGGAAAAUAAGCCCCGGCUAACUUCGUGCCAGCAGCCGCGGUAAUACGAAGGGGGCGAGCGUUAUUCGGAAUCACUGGGCGUAAAGCGUGCGUAGGCGGUUUUGUAAGUUAGGAGUGAAAGCCCAGGGCUCAACCUUGGAAUUGCUCUUAAAACUGCAAGGCUCGAAUCUCGGAGAGGAUAGCGGAAUUUCCAGUGUAGCAGUGAAAUGCGUAGAUAUUGGAGGGAACACCAGUGGCGUAAGCGGCUAUCUGGACGAGUAUUGACGCUGAGGCACGAAAGCGUGGGGAUCAAACAGGAUUAGAAACCCUGGUAGUCC
This 425-nucleotide ribosomal RNA is filed under the name uncultured bacterium. RNAcentral describes it as "partial 16S ribosomal RNA". It matches the Rfam family "Bacterial small subunit ribosomal RNA", at positions 354 to 796 of the family's 1533-position model. The record is from RNAcentral.